Molecule: ribosomal RNA, 1033 nt
Filed under: Vibrio proteolyticus
Lineage: Bacteria; Pseudomonadati; Pseudomonadota; Gammaproteobacteria; Vibrionales; Vibrionaceae
Description: bacterial SSU rRNA
Rfam family: Bacterial small subunit ribosomal RNA
Source: RNAcentral
CAGUUCGUGAAAAGGUUAGUGUUUUUUAAUAGAUGCAUUAUUUUGACGUUAGCGACAGAAGAAGCACCGGCUAACUCCGUGCCCAGCAGCCGCGGUAAUACGGAGGGUGCGAGCGUUAAUCGGAAUUACUGGGCGUAAAAGCGCAUGCAGGUGGUGUGUUAAGUCAGAUGUGAAAGCCCGGGGCUCAACCUCGGAAUUGCAUUUGAAACUGGCAGACUAGAGUACUGUAGAGGGGGGUAGAAUUUCAGGUGUAGCGGUGAAAUGCGUAGAGAUCUGAAGGAAUACCGGUGGCGAAGGCGGCCCCCUGGACAGAUACUGACACUCAGAUGCGAAAGCGUGGGGAGCAAACAGGAUUAGAUACCCUGGUAGUCCACGCCGUAAACGAUGUCUACUUGGAGGUUGUGGCCUUGAGCCGUGGCUUUCGGAGCUAACGCGUUAAGUAGACCGCCUGGGGAGUACGGUCGCAAGAUUAAAACUCAAAUGAAUUGACGGGGGCCCGCACAAGCGGUGGAGCAUGUGGUUUAAUUCGAUGCAACGCGAAGAACCUUACCUACUCUUGACAUCCAGAGAACUUUCCAGAGAUGGAUUGGUGCCUUCGGGAACUCUGAGACAGGUGCUGCAUGGCUGUCGUCAGCUCGUGUUGUGAAAUGUUGGGUUAAGUCCCGCAACGAGCGCAACCCUUAUCCUUGUUUGCCAGCACGUAAUGGUGGGAACUCCAGGGAGACUGCCGGUGAUAAACCGGAGGAAGGUGGGGACGACGUCAAGUCAUCAUGGCCCUUACGAGUAGGGCUACACACGUGCUACAAUGGCGCAUACAGAGGGCGGCCAACUUGCGAAAGUGAGCGAAUCCCAAAAAGUGCGUCGUAGUCCGGAUUGGAGUCUGCAACUCGACUCCAUGAAGUCGGAAUCGCUAGUAAUCGUGGAUCAGAAUGCCACGGUGAAUACGUUCCCGGGCCUUGUACACACCGCCCGUCACACCAUGGGAGUGGGCUGCAAAAGAAGUGGGUAGUUAACCUCGGAGACGUCACCCCUU